RNAcentral lists this ribosomal RNA (253 nucleotides) under uncultured bacterium. RNAcentral describes it as "partial 16S ribosomal RNA". It matches the Rfam family "Bacterial small subunit ribosomal RNA", at positions 524 to 776 of the family's 1533-position model. The record is from RNAcentral.
UACAGAGGGUGCGAGCGUUAAUCGGAAUCACUGGGCAUAAAGCGCACGUAGGCGGCCAUGUCAGUCGGGUGUGAAAGCCCUCGGCUCAACCGAGGAACUGCGUCCGAUACUGCAUGGCUUGAGGUCCGGAGGGGAGAGUGGAAUUCCCGGUGUAGCGGUGAAAUGCGCAGAUAUCGGGAGGAACACCAAUGGCGAAGGCAGCUCGCUGGGACGUUACUGACGCUGAGACGCGAAAGCGUGGGGAGCAAACAGG